UUUGUUUGGGCCAGCCGGACAGCUGUUGAGUCAACAGUCAUGCUGGUUAAGAAACCAACUGGGAAGAAGGGUCCCAGUCCACUUCCAGAUGGAAAGUUCAAAGCUCCCACAAGGAACUGACCACCACAACCGACUUGGUGUCAGUUGGCGGGAGUGUUUUUCGAGCACUGGAGUACAUUUAGAAAACUACUACUCUUUAACGGUGGAGAUUUUCAAUCGGGACAAGUGGAAUGAACCUGACACAGCAAAGCCAUAAAACUACUGGGAGGAGAGCGUAGUUCACCUUUGGGCCGCAGUAAUAAACAAAUAAUGGCCUAUGAACACAGCUACUCAUACUCACACACACACACACCCACACCUGAAAGAAAGGCUUCCUCACACCAUUCACUCUCACAAACACACUCUAGAAUAACUCUGCUAUAGCAUAAGGACUGCAAAUUAAUCAAUUAAUCAAAACAUUACUUCUCUGAACACAGUGUUAGGUCGCUCUCGUUAACGCAACAUCCUUAACCCGAGACCCCGCAGCCUCCCCGACUGUAUGCGGAACCACUUGAAGGCUUGUUGCAUUUUCUGAAACACCGCAAUAGAUGUUCCUUAUUCGCUUUUGUUAACCUUAAAGCCAUAUUUCAGCACGAUGUGGAGCUCUGGCGCAGAUUUUGGCGGGCACACGCCCACGAGGGUCCAUGGAUAAUCAGCGGCACAUGUUAGCUGUCCUGGUUGAGAGUGCUGAUGUAUUGGAACGCACCAUCGCUUUGCUUUUCUUUCGCCGUCGAGAAUCAUAAUUCAAGUGGGUUCAGCAAAAAGAAAAGUACUUUGGGCUGAGUCAUUCAGUUUAGUUUGGCAUUGCUGCCGUUUCUGGCCCAUGAUGGAAUAUUAUAAUAAUAGGUUGUAUGUGAUGGACAAAAACAAAAUACAAACAGUGGACUUCUAAUUGCAGAAUGGAAGGAAAAUAACAAAAUGUAUAACAUGAAAUAUCUAUUUAAAUAGUGAGGAAAAAGUGGGUAGAUGAGGACCAUCUUCCUCAAACAAAAACAGCUUUAUAGAAGAAAUUCUAGCUGUAAGAAGAUAUGGAUAAAGAGGAUGAGUGAAGGCAAACACGCACACUCCUUGACCCGGCUCAAGUUGCCCGGUCGGUGUGGCUGCUGCCCAGCGCACGCCGGAGAAGGAAAAUACUGUUGCACGGCGCGACCUCAGCGCCGCUCGUAUCAUCGAGCCGGAGCCGCAGGCCUGCUGCUGCUGGAUAAAUAUCCAGUCGGACUGCGUUGCAGCUGAUACUGCUGUUAAGCUGUUUUUGGCAGCGGGCAUGUGGAGGGGACACCCCUCGGUCUGGGGGUCACAGGGGGCGUGAGAGCACAGGCGGGCCUGGAUGGGAGAGACGGAAGGGACGAAGACGGGAGAGGUUACACACGGCGCGUCCCCCUUAACCCGGGAGGCACGACCCCUCAGGGGGGGUCUUCAGACGAGUUUGCCAGGUUGCAAACAGCAGAGUCCCCAGCGACAAGCGCCUCAGCUCUCGGCCAUAGGGCCAUCAUGGCUACGGGCGCAAUUCUCCCCAUCAUUUUCCUCUCAUCUCUCCUGACCCGACCGAAUACAGGCAUGACAAUAACACUAACCUACAUGAGACGAUCAAACUGCUCUCCUCUACAGGAAUGACCACGUUUGUUUACUCACAUCGCGUCACACUGUUUUCAGCAGGAAAACAGGUUUCAAAUAUGUGGCCACGUGUCACCAACCGCUUUCCGCGCGUCGUCUUAAUGUCUCAGCUGCGGAGGUUUGUCAAAACGUCGCUCUCCAAACAUAAUACAUUAUCUGAUCCGUCUAAAUUAACAUCAUUUUUAUGGAGAGACUGCAUGUGACGGCAGCGCCAGCCUGCGGGUUAAAAACUCUAUAAUGAGCAGCAUUUCAUGGAGUACAACUCACCCACUGAGUCAAGCUCCUAACUGUACAAAGCCAAAUGUUAUGACUCAUCGCUUUGUACAAGCAGCAGACUGUCAGCGGAUUUUAAUUAAGCAAAGAUGCGUCUUCAUAAGCUGUCGCAAAAGAGGCAGAAUUUGACUUUGCCGAGCUUCAAAUACGGCGCCGACUUUUCCGGGCUGAGUUCACUGCGAAAACCAGCAGGAGCAGCUCAUGAAGUGCUGUUGUUACCAAGGUGACCAGUUAUCAUAGCUGGCCUUCCAAGUCCAAACGAGAGCCAUAAAGCACACAUAAUGGAGGACAGCAAGUUUAGCCGACCUGCUAGAUUUCCUUGACCAUGAAUGCCCGGUCAUUUCUCAUAUCCAAACAAGACAUCUGCCGGUUAUCGACGCUCAGAAAACCAAAGGGUUUGUAAGUCAGACUUCUCCAAUAAGAAUAUGUCUCUGCCUUUUCUAUUUCUUUUACUUGCCAGGACUUCUUGGCACAGACGGCGCAUAUUGCACAUUUUUUUCAAACGUUAUAUCCGUUGCCUUUGCCAGUGUUAACAGAAGUGAUGCUUCCAUCAAGAGCCUCACGUCCCAAAUUUAAAGUCGUUUGGAGCGUUUUCAGUCAACUCAUGAUACACUUUUCUUCUUGCUGCAACCUGGCAAAGACCAAAUGUCUUCUCACAGUCUCCAUUUGUUUAUUCGAGCAGAAGCUCAUUUAAUACUUCGCAGGGCACGAGAGGACUAUUUACACACUCAAUGGCACCUCUUUUUUUCGUUGUCUUGAUUGAAUGGCUCAGCUUCUACCUAAAUACAGUCCUGACAGCCAGGCCAGUAUUUUGGACUAAAGGGAAAUGCAGGAAUGAUAAGAAGUACGGAUUCCCACUUUUGAGCAUAAGACAAAUUUGUUGUUGUCUUCCCUUAACUCAAAAAGGUGUAACAAACCAAAACCAGGAGCAUCCGUCCAAAAAGACUCCUCCUUAAAGCGCAAGAGACUUGGGAAGAGAGAGAAACACCAGCACAGCUCAUGUGAUGCAUACUAAUCCCGCCUGUGUUUGUGUUUGCGUGAAAGAGAGAUGGAGAGCUCCAAAGAUUGUGAAAACAAGUUCCAUUUACGGUGAUAAAAUCUGUUAAUCUGGCUGAGCCGGCCCCUCUUCGUGUAUCAGCCGCAUUCAUUUCCCUAAAGGACCUCUGGAGUGGGGUAACGCUUGGGCUGUGCGUCUCGCUCACACAGAGAACCAGAUGUUUGAACGGCUCGCUGCAUUCGGCGCUGACGCUGACGCUGACGCGGCCUUUUUCGUCGGCGGGCCGACGUUUCAGCGUAAACAAGACGCCGGCAGACAUAAAUGUACAGGCAUUAUCAACGCGCAGACGUCAAGCAUUGGGCUGCUGGCGGCGGUAUUAGUGUCCAUGUCUAUCUGCGCUGCGGACGGGGAAGUGACUCCAUGUGUGUUUGGAAACGCGUCCAGAAGAAGCUGUCAGAACUCAAUCAACAUAAAACAUGUGCACAUGUAUGAGGAAGGCCACCUUGGGCAAAAGGCUUGAAUGGACACGUGUGUGUGUGUCUCCGUGUGAGGGUACUGAGCCCCGUGCUCUGGACCCCGUACAGCUUGGUUUUUCCAGCCCGCAAAUGUGGAAAAAAUGCACUCUCACUCCAAGCGUGCAGCGCCAGAGAACACUGAACCGGGAACCAACACGUAGUCCAAAUCCACAACUCCAUCAGCCAUGUUCCAGCUUAGCCUGGCACGGCUCGGUUCGGUUCCCCUUCGGCGGAAUGAAAUGGAUUCCAGAUCAACAGCUGCACAUAAUUCCAAAUCCACUCAUUGGGCUUGGGCGGAGGCAGAUCUGCAGACGUACGAGGGGUGACGUCGCUGAUUAAACCAGACCUGAUUGGUAAUAAAAAGCCCUAUUGUCUGCCUCUUAAUCCACUUGAGCCGCUCUAGUGUCUCCCCUUCAUAACGGCAGGCUGAUCAUUCACUCUUGUAAGCAGUAAUGUUGUACAAUGACAGUGUAUAUUUUCGCACACAUGUCCAUCGACGCUCAGUUGAAACCGCGAUUACAAUCGAACGCGUCGGAGCCUUGAUUUUUGGUGCAUGUGUGCUCGCACAGCUGUGAUAGUUUACAGUGGAACAGUGUGAAGGGUGGAUCUAAUCAUAGGGGCUGGAAUGCGACCCCUCACCCCCCAGCCAAUGGCCCUCUGCAGCCGCUGCAGCCGCCUUAUCUGAUUGGUCUGUCUAGCGCGAUAAUCACUUCCAGAUUCGGAGCGAGGCCGCCAAAACCUGGAGGUACGCGGGGGAGCUGCUGGAAAGCACGAGUGCUGCAGAAUCCAGGAGUGCUGUGUUGUGGAGAAAUCUUGUUGAAUGUCUUUUUAGGAUGACAGGACUCAAUGAUCAUUUCACACCAAUAAAGUCGUACCAUUCCAUGAUGCAAUGAAUCUUUAAAGUGCGCUGCGAUGCGCUUCCUCCCUCACACGCCUCGGACUGGCUUCUUCUCCCAAGCAGAGGCAGCGUUCAUCAUGGGCAGCCUGGUCUCUCCCUCUGCCACCGUGGGGCUUUCAUCAGCCCCCCCCUCAGACAAAGCUUGGAAUACGUGUGCACAGCAUCGCUUUCACCAAAUCACACACAUUAUCUUUACACAGGAGAGUAUAUGUGAUCCUCUUUAGAUAACUAAUGCACUAAAUAACCUCAUACGUAUUUGCUUCCAUUCCCUGAGCAACCAUUGAGAUCUUUUUUUCCCCCAAAGACUUAAAUUGGAAGAUAAUUGUCUUUUUAAAAAUAUGAUCAACUUACAACUUAGUACAAAUGUGUGAAUAGCGCUUAUCAAAAGGUUAGAUCAAGACCUUUUUCUUCAUACAUCCAUGCAACUGAUGGGAAAUUGCAGUCCAAAACAAUAAGGACUGCAAUAAAAUGAAACCUGAGAUAUUAAGAUGCAGGUGACUUGAGUUGAGGAUGUGCUUAAAACGUUUAAAAAAAAACCCUAUAAAAUACUUUGGGAACUAAACAAACUUCACAACUUGAUACCUUGUCCUUUCAAAGAGGAAGCGUGCUCCGUAUGCAUGACAGAGGUUACCAUUGUCUUUUCUUUCUUGCGAUCAAAAGAAGGGAUCACGGCUUGAUCGCUGAAUACAAAAACUUCUAGCGAGCCACAAGGAAGCCAAAUACAUGGGAUUUGUUAACAAGUAACAAGUAACCCUUCACCCGGAAUAACAAUGCAUGUGUUCCCGUCAGUGCCAUUGGCCGUUGAACUCGUGCUAAAAAGGAAGACGUACAAGUCUUCAAUUUGUGACAAGAGGGAGUUUCCUUUCCCCGUGCAACAGGAGACUCAACAGCACCGGCGUAUCGAGUUCUGACGAUGAACUGAUGACGAACUGGAGCUUUGCCCGUCGUUCCUGCACUAUGUUACAGCCCAAGUAGCCGCUACGUCGCUCUCCACGAGCACACAGACACACACUCCCUAUUUCUCACCGUGCUUUUUUGGGGCGGAGGGAGGGUGUCCCUGGUUCUAAGCAUCAGCAUGUGGAGAAAACCCCGUCAGUAAUCCCCUGCUGCUCAGCUCUGGAACUGCCUGACUGCCCCAUAGUAGCUGUAGCUCGCACGCACACACACACACACACACACACACAUAUUCAAAAAACCUAGAAAUACAAACACAUCCACAAGCACAAAUACACACACAUACAUGCAUGACAUGUAUAUGUGUCAUGUGCUUCCUGUGGGUAAUUUGCUCUCUCUCUCUCUCUCUCUCACACACACACACACUCCAGUGUGUGAGAGAGAAAUGACGCUCUUUAUUGCUCCCUGCGGUUUAACCCUUUCUAAUCCCUCCUGAGUGGCGGAGCUUUACGGUCAAUUCACACUCUUUAAUGCUUUUUAUUCUCUCUCUCUGUAGCCUCAAGAGUAAUCCCCACAGCAGCUGUGGCAACGCAUCAAGCGCGUGGAAGCACAGAGAAAACAACGCACACACACUGUUACACGACGCGGUCGUAAAAUACUGAGGGGCUAAUGUGAAAUGACAACUUGUCGUCACCUACAUAACGUGUGCGCCUAAAAGCCAACGAAAGUCGACGUUCCUCGGGACGCGUAGCCUCGCUCCCGGGUGAAAGGAACGUUUUCCCUUGACGUCUUCCUUUGCUCCGUAGAGCGGCCGCGUCACUGUUUGCAGCGUAGCGCCGCCGGCCGAGCUGCCGGACUGGACCACGUGGGAGGUUGUCCAAAUCCAACCAGCUUCUUCUUCUUCAGGAAGUUGUUUCUCAUUUAUUUCACAGAAGCCAACAAACGCAUCAAAUAUAACUUGGCUGCCUUUGCUAUGUUGCUCUGGCUCGCUGAUGAAAAACUAUAAGUCACCCAGGUGCAUGCUGGUCCUAUACCUGGCUGUGCCUACAGUAUUACCCAAUUAACCAAACCAUGCAUACUUGUUGACAAAAAAAUGAUUAAACUAAAUUAUACAAAAACAGAAAAAGCUAUUUUAAUACUACAUCAACCUAAGAAACCAAACAAUAAUAUUUAAGACUAAAUAACUAAAUAAUAGCCCCCACAAUAACUAUUCCGACAAAGGUCAACGUCAGAAAAUUACCUCCUUUAAACCUGCAUGGCUCCUUCACCAAUGUUGCCAACGGCAACGUACAGGUCGGUGUAUUGCGUUGUUAAAAGAAGACAAUAGUAGGAAGGCAAUCGCAUGUUUACAUAACGCUACAUUUUUUUGUACUAGAGGUGGAUAUGGGCAGUUUCAGCUUCCUGAUUAAACUAAAUCAAUUCAUUAAUUUCAUAAUUUGACCACAAUUGGACCACAUUAUUCAUCCAUAAUUAAGAAAAAUCUAAAAUAAAAGGAAACCCAUACUUGCAGUUUAAUUAAAUGUACGUAAAAGAGACCAGAAGCCGCAGACUGGACGGAAGAAAUGUACUUCUCUAUCGGAGGACUCCUGUCAAACACACACAGAAACACACGUGUUCAGGUAUGCAUGAACAGAGUUUAUAAUAGGAAUUCACUGAAGAAGAAACAUGGAGUUGAAUUCCUCCCGGGGUACACAGGGAAGCCAGUCAACUACAUCGGCACACAGGAAAAUGAAAUGUUGUGUUCAACAGCCACAUAAACUGUUCAGUUUCCUCGGUUUCACAAGAGGAAAGAAUUUGAAACCGUGCGUGGAGAGGCGAGGCAUGAAACACACACACACACACACACACACACACGCUCAAUAACAAACCCCUCAGCUACACACAAAAACAGGCCGACUCAAACAUCCACAUGAUAUUUCACACAACCAAUUUCCCAAAACCACACACAUAAACACUCAAACCCCCUAUACGCACAGGCACAGGCUGCCAUGAAUACACACACACACACACACACACACACACACACAACCACAGAGCAAAGAAGUGUAUGUAUGCAGCAAAUGGCUCCGUUUCUCUCAUUAGGGAGAAGGAGCUGCCUGCAGCAAAGCCUCCACUAGUCAGUCUGCUGAGAUCUCUAAAAUCAACAGCACUAGUCAGACAAGAGAAGGGGGGGGGGCAGAUACUGCAUCUAUGUUAAAAAACAGAUGAAGGGACUGAAUGGAGGAGAUGGUAAAACUACCAAGAAUAAAACAUCUUUAAAACAGCGUGGAAACAAGGAGGUAGAGGCAGAGGGCUUUUCAGAUUGCCUGAUGUGACUUGUGCCUGUAGCCCACACGGCGAACCCAACAGUCCACUGAUUGGUGCUUUUGGCUCAUGAGUGAAGCGGAUAAUGCGGUUAGUUAACACGCAGAUGUUUAGCAGGUUUAAUGUUCACCAGGCUGGUGCGGCGUGUUGACAUGCUAACAUCCAUCAAAGAAAUUGCUGCAGAUAUUUGAGUCCGGAGCAGCAUGAGCAAACAAAGACAAAUCUGUGAUAAUGUGUGAAUCGCUGAGACUGGACUCGAGUAAAAGUGAACUCCCGUCCCAGGUGACGUCUUGCUUGGGUUUUCUGGUCACGUGAGAGUGAAUCCAGCUUGUCUUUCCUCCGCUUCCAGAUGACUCUCUAGGACAGAACUAAAUGUGUGAGGGCUUUCACACUGUACGAAACAUUUAGAUGCAAACAUACCUCCCAGGGAGUGCUCCCCUUAAUUGUACAAAAUCCAACACAUUUCACCUGCAAGUCUGAAAAAGAAAAGCUUGCUUAUGUUGAAAAAGUUGAGAAGAUCUUCACAACAACAACUUUUAAUAUCAUCUAUGGGGUCAAAUUUAAAUCCCCUCAUUUCUCUUUUUGUCAAAGCCUUGUGAAUAUCCCAAAGGACGAGGUGAGAAUGAAGGAACAAAGACACCAGGAGAGGAUGAAACUAAAUAAUGACACACAAUAUCUAAACUGUGACAAAAGAGAGAGAAGUACAGAUAGGCAUUAAAAACGGGAAAUAAUAGAAAGCCCCAUUAGGCAGAGGUUAUUGAGUAAAUCUAUCAGCAGACAAAAGCUUCUCCCGUGGCUGUGUCACUGCUGCCUGCACACAACUCAACACUAUCUCCCCAAUUUUGGUCCAUUUGCAACCCCCCGCGUCUGUUAAAAAGCUAAAUUGCCCGUCUGCAUCGCCUUAAAGUGGUUUGCCAUGCAGGGAGGGUCUAGUAAGGUGGCGGCACGGGGGGCGAUUUCCUCGGGCGCCUCCUACGACUGGGAAACCUCAAGGUGUUUAAAACGGAUUUUGACCCCGGCGUUUCUCUUUGUUGUGCGCAAGUGGAAGCAUUUACAAUCAACGCUACACCGUUUCUGUGUCUCAUCAGCCGCAUCCUUCUCCCAGACAGAAAGCCGGGUGGGGAGCUGAGGUGUGGGGGGGGGGGUCUGGCAUACAAAGGCGGAGGAAGAAUGGAAAGUGGAGCUUGAUUGGCGGAACUUUCGCUCCGGGAAGCUCAAAAGUGAGCAGAGGAAAUAAAUCCAUCAACUCCGGCGAGUCUUCAUACAUCACAGCCGAGCUGAAGCCGCUACCGUCAAGCAGGAGUCAGGCACCUGUGCACUGCUUCUCCCUCCGAUACGCGAGAGUAAGACGGAUGUCCACUGGAGACGUUGGACCUCUCUGCACCGGGAGCCCCGUUAAGCAGUUUGGUGCAAAGCAGUCAGGCUAAAUAUUGAAGUGCUAGCGAUAGACUAACUAGGGGGUGGGGGGGGCGACACCUGCUGUGGUGUCCUUGAGCAAAACGCUGAACCUGGAAGCCAAGAGGCACAUGAGAGGCCGCAUCAUUCUCUGAUCUCAUAUCUCACACACACACACACACACACACACACAAAGACAAAACCGUACCGCCACUCAUCCUUCACACAUGCAGGUUUGUGUUUGACGAAGCACUCAACAAAAUGAGAUGAGCCUGUGUGUGUGUGGGGGGGGGUGAUUGAGGGGAUGUCAUUGUAUUCACUGACUCAGCAUUUGUGCACAGUCAUUCCUCGUCAUUCCACUGCCGUUUCCUCCCUCACCGGGGGGCCAAGUGCAACCUGCCAGCAUCCCUCUCAAAAUGUCUCGCUGUCUUUCUUAAUUAUUUCUGCAGCUAGAAAAUAGUUUCUGCUGCCAACAUGAUGAGACACAAAUCAUACGAAUGCAUUUUUUUUUGUUUUCAGUUAUAUGCAUUUGUUUGAGAUGCCACACAGUUUGGAAAAUGAACUGUCUCUGGACGGUAAAGUCUUUCACAGGGGGAGGAACCAAAAGGUUUUGGGCCCUUGAAUGAAGUUAGACAUUUAGGAUAUUGUGAACAAUAUAGACUUUGGGCUGCAAAAAAAAAAACUAUAUGUAAAAGCAAGCGUUUGUUUGAAUCUCCCAUUUACACACGCUGGGUUCCCGGCAAUUCACAGAACUUGUUAAGAUUGGAUUCCAAGGUGGGUUGCAAAAUUACCAAAUCCAUUAGUCCAUCUUCAGACAGAAUGAUGUAUGGCUAACAUUAUAGGCAAAACACCCUGCCUGAGUUUUUGAGAGAUUCUUUGUUUGCUAUUGGAUAUUAUUUGAUCUGAGUUAUUUUGCUUUUCAAAGGUUCGGACGCACAUUCUCAUUCAAUUGAAUGAGAAUUGACUGGUACCAUACCUUUAAUGUUGCUGCCAAAAGUUUCAUAGAAUUGUUAUGGACAUUUCUAUGAAGUUCUCAUAGAAAUGUUACGUUUUUUUUAUCCCUCUUGUCGUAACUCUGGUGCUCCCCCCUUCCUUUUCUUUUCUCUGCGUUUAGACCACUUAACAUGUUCAGCAGGGCUGCGGUGUCAUAGCGUUUCCCAUCCCUACCACCUGCUAGAUGUCUCUCUUUUCCCGCUUCAUAAAGACAGCAUUGAGCAAAGGCUCCACGUGGAGGAAGCCGGACUCGUCGAGCCUUAGAUCUUUGGCUUCUCCCGAUCCUCUGGUGUUCAUUUGGUGCCAAGCGGCAGACAUGGGCAAGGUGGUUCAAGAGAAGCCUGCGGCGUGCCAUUUGUAUUAAUUCAGAUUCAGAAUUCAGUUUUGUCUCUCUCUCCAGGACUGUGACAGAGCGUACAGAGGCUUCACCUCAAAGUGCUUUACAUGGGCUCGCCUGGGGAGACAUCCAGAGGAACCAGACAGCACAAACUUACACAUAGAUUCUUUGGGGGCUUUCAUCAUGAUAGAACCUCUCCUGGCACGGUAGGGCCAAAUAUUAGAGCUGUGAGCAGAACAUAACAGCUGGCGGUCUUUCUGGAGUUAAACAUACAGGGUGUGAUGCCUCAUGGUCGUAUCGCCUCAUCCUUCCUUCUGUCUGACUUUUGCAUUUCCUGCUUUCUGGCCCGGGGAAAUGAUUUAACCACCAGCACUACAGAGACCAGAUCACAGAUUUGCAUCCAAAAGCCAUGUACGGAAGAAAUGAGAACGAAGCUCUCCAACUCUGACCUUGGCCCAGAACUAAAUAUACACAAGGAGGGAAGGGGGGGUAGAGGAGGAUGUCCAAGUGUGUGUGUCAUGGAAAUACGGGGACGUGCUGAUGGGACUAAUAUCGCAAGCGCAGGAAAUGCAGACGAGCUCAGAAAUGUGGGUUGGUUCCGCUACAAACACACACACACACACAAUUAUUUUGCUGCAUCAACUGUUCAGACAGCACAGAACAUAAGGCAGAAAUUGGCCAUUUGGGACAACAAACACAAGCUGUAUGGUCUGCAGCAGCAGCAGAAGGUGAAAACGGUUUGCUGGAGUUCUUUUAAUUGCUUGAUAAAACAACCGCAGAAUCAUCCUUGCUCACACCGAAAUAACUCCUCACAAGCCGCUGCUCUCUCUGGCAAAUGCAUGCGACGCCGGCAAUCAAACGGGCUCCUCGCAAGUCUUAUUCGGAACGUGAGAAGCGGGUGUUUGCAAGCAGGCGGCGUGCAAAAAAGUGUCAGCCACCUCGCGGUUACCCGUCACAUCUGUGUCGCCGUCUUACUAGAGAAACUGUUGCCGUCUGCCGGCCCCCGUUUGAUCUGCCUCGGCCUUUCUGUGCGGAGGCUGCAUCAAAAAGGUACCGGGGACUUAAAAGCGCCAUCGUUUCACCGCUCUACCUCUUUUUUUCCCUUUUGCUCACAUCUUCUCUCGCCCAACCUCUUCCUCCGUCGGUUCUGCUCAGACGGAAAUUGGGAGUGUAAACACUUUGUCCCUGCUGCAAAAGAGAAUGGCUCCUCCGCUGGAGGAGCACAAAUACUCAUGUUGACAACCAUUUAUUGCAAUCAUCCAUUAUUAAUGUUGAUAAAAAUGUUUGUAUAAUUUACAGUUAUUCUUAGUAGAGUGUGAUGGAUAUUGCCUCUUGCUAAGUUGCAAUGAAUCAUUCGCAUGUACUGUAGGGGAGUGACAGUGCACACUCACUGCUACCGUCUGUUUCUUUAACUCCCAAAAUCAUUCUUUUCAAGACGAUGGGGAAGCGGAUUCUCUGCAAUAACCAGCACGGGGCGACUGCUCUGGUGGCAAAAAAUAAGUGCUAUUGUAUAGAAUAAAUAAACCCACCUCUCUCUUGAUUUAUUCCCUCAGUGAACAUUAUAAACGCGAGUGUGUCUCAAUCUCUAGUUGCGAGUCUUCUUCAAUACAGCACGAUAUUCAUUCAGUAAUAUUUAGAUCCGUGGCGCCCAAUUGGUCAUUGAAAUUGAGAAAAAAUCACGACAGGUCACCACGCAUGCGCAGUUUUUCACAAUGACUCGGCUUUUAGCGUCGCCGAUGUCCCCGUUGGCCGGUCCACGGGAGGUCCAUCGGCAAGACGAUUGAAAAGUAGCUGAAAAAGUGUGGCCACCCCUAAUUUAAAUGGUCUUUUUACAGUAUAGCAGAGCGUAGAGAAUAUGCUUCAGGACGGGCUCAGUGUGAUUGACUGGUCGCUGCCUCGAUGGAGGAGAAACCAUUCACAAACACUGUUCUACCCUUCUUCAGUCUGAGCUAAUUAGAUUGCCUUCCAAGAGCAGUUAAAACAACUAGUGUUGUCUGAGGGAUUAAACCUGGUAUUUUGCCAUUUAAUAUGAAUUUACUUGGCAGUCUGUAGUCAGCCUCUAUAGGCGAGAGUGUGGCUCCAACACUGCUCGGCCAUGCAGCAUUUCAACACACUGAAUAAAUGCAUAAAAACAACUCCUCCUUCCUCGGCCAAAUGGCCGUUUCAUUAUAUCCACGGCCACGUUGGAAGGACCCUUGUCGUGGGGGAUUUUCUCAAAUGGGAAUCAGUUCAAACUGCUUUCAAUCUGGUUUAUUGGCUUUCUAUUGCCACCCCUCCUCCUCCGUUUAUCCAUCACAGUCACUUGAGGUAUGAAGCGGCUCAAAGCAAACAGAACCGCUGGGUGCGUCCCGGUCGCCGGCGGCUCUCAGCUCGGCUGGGGCCUGAGCCACUGACACGACACCGGGCGGAACCGCCCACCCAUCCGUGCAAGUGUUUGCCCAAAACCGGAGACGGAGUCUACUCUCACUUGUGAUGCGUUGCCGAGGAAGCUCCAGAAGGAGGAGACUUGGGGCGACAGUGAACACAGAUUGAGGCCGUUUAUCUUAAUACCCCCCCUCAUAAAAAGUCGGACCCUGCAGUAAUUUAUGCAUCAGUCGAUCCCGGAACAUCAGAUAAACACCACAGAAGAUCUGGUCACUGUAGAACUUGCUUUAAAUAUGACUGAACCCUGGUUACAGGGUACAAAGGUGAAAACAUAGAGAGCGCGAAGAAAAGAUAACCCGCCAGAAGAAAUUAAAAAUAAAAGACUUUGAGAACAAACCGUGUCACGAGGUUACAGGCAGGCGAACACACGCAGCACGUGUCAGCGGGUACAACAGGAACCAGUAUGUUCUACCGUUGUCAUCGUGUCACUUUAACCAGGCGGGCAGUCAGUCAGCUCGGAUGUCACGCCGCAGCCCCAAAGUGGAGGUGAUGUUCAGGGUUUCAUCCUUAUCAACGAGCCCCAGCACAGGCACAUCAUAACACAGGCGCUCAACAGAGUGUGGGGGGGGGGGGGGGCGGAUUUCUCACCCCCUCCACACGUCUCUAGCUCCCACAUCGUUUCUCUCUCUCACACACACACACACACACACACACACACACGCGCGCAUUAUUGCGGGGUUCAGAGAGAGGAGAGAGAUAAGAAGGGAGAGAGAAGCAGAUGAGAGGAGGUUCUGAACAUGCAAAAGGAACAUUCAUCUCACACACACACACACACACACACACAACCUGGUGAGAUUUCUUUCAAUGUGCUUUGGCAGUCAAACCGGUGGCUUGGUGCCCGUAGUCUCUCAGAAUCAGCCCGUCUGCCUCACCUACGCAUAUCACGUCAAAAAUGCAUAAGGUGACACAAAACUGUCAGGGCAUGUUGAUGUGAAUCCAAAGCGAUCUGUGUGUGUGUGUGUGUGUGUGUGUGUGUGUGGGUUGGUGAGGAGCACGCGCACACACACGCCCAAGCGUACAUGCACUCACACGCGGGUCAAGCACUAACGUUACAUGCACCAAUAGACACAUUCAAAGAUGUGCAUGUUGCAUCUGAACAAGCACACUGGUACCAACUUGCACACACACACACACACACGCGCGCGCGCGCGCGCACACCAUGACACAUUAGGACCGCUUACAUGCACCAAUAUACACGCACAAGCACACGCGCAACUGGCGCAAAGAGUGCGUUCAAGUUUAAAUUGCGUCUCCGGCGCAGAUGCAGCGUUGCUCACAUGGACACCGGGUUUAAUCAAAUGCGUCUUGGCUAACGAUCCUACACCUGCUCCUCUGGCACUGCCGCGAUGUGACAUGCACCAAACACACCAAGCAGUAAAGCUCAGGCACGCGGGAGAUCAUAAAAACACCCCCCCGCGGAGACACAAACAGCCUAUUCAUGCGGCCGCUUGUGCCUCCACAAUGCGCAGUUCCUUUCCUGUGAGGAACUGCGAUCCGUCACCGUCACACAACUUGGCCAAUUCCAAGUAAACAACAAAAAAACGACAUUUUGGAGCUGGUGUUCAUGCGCAAACCUCCUCGUGCGUGCGGCUGCUUCCGUGCGCAAAACAAGCCUUGCGAUGUUUCCAAGCACAAAGGUGAAAUAAAAGAGAACGUCUACAGAAAGCCCCAUUUCUCCCGCAGCGCAGACCCGCUCCGCGUGUGCUCGUGACACCGCAGAGAGACACCGGUGGACGGGAUGGAGAGGGAAGGGUCGGAGGAGGAGGAGGAGGAGGAGGAGAGCAGGAAUGUCACCGACAUUUCGGAUAAGGGACGAAUUCUCUUCUUUUUUUUCCCAAAAUGACAAGCAACCACGAACCAAAAAAAGUUUGCCUGUACUUACUGCUCAAACCGCCCUUCGCGUUCGCCCUCCUUGGCAUGUUUUGUCUUUUUAAGAUGUCAGAGUUGCGGCAGAAGACAUUUCCAUUCCCGGCGGGCUUGUCAGAGAGCAGCGGCAGCAGCAGUAGCAGCACCGGUGUCCAGGCUCAGCUCUGCAGUUCCGUGCGCGCAGGACAGCAGCGAUCAGCAUGAAUGAGGGGAGAGCUGCGGGUAGACGCCGGCAUCCCCUGGUAGAGGGAAUGAGAGAGAGAGAGACAGGGAGGGAGGGAGAGAGAGGCGGGGAGGUUAGUGACAUGAGUGCGCCCCCUGGCGGUGGAUGGUGGAGCGGCGGGUCGCCACACGCACCGCGCGGUGGCGCGCGUAGGUGGCGGCAUCGGGCCCGAGGAGGGUCUCUCGCCGUGUGUUGGAGUCUUUGUCACACCGCUGAUGGAAGGCGGCUCCUGUCGAGCCCGAUGGGUCUCUGUUGUCAUCGUAUAACGCACGCAGAGUGGCACUGUCCUGGUUUUAGGCCUCCUAUUUCGUGACGUUUGUGAAUGUGUUUAUUCACCCAAAAUUGAAGCAACGUUCUGAUAAAAUAUGUAACAAGGUUGUGGGUAAACUGAAACAAAUGAUAUUUCUAUAAGAUAAUGGGAUCUCGACAUGGAUGAAAUAGAGCUGAACAGACUUGAGCGACCACAAAUAUAACGAAUCACAGAUUGGACCGUUUUUUUUAAAUAUAAAGGUGUAACACAACCAACUAAACUAUCAAUAAAACCGAUCAGCAAAGUGUGUGUGGUGUUCUCUGAUCUGAUCAGUUACUCACAUUUACUCGCGUUGGAGCUGAUUAAAUGUACGUUUCCCGAAAUCAUUGCAAAGGGGAAAAGGGAGACUUCUGGGGAGAUGCUUUGUACAACCGUAGAAAAGGACAAAUACGAGGUGAGGUUAUAAACCGGCCUUCAGAGGUCUGCUUUGACCUGCACAUUGUUUUCUGCCUCAGCCGGACACGAUGCUUCUCAAGUAGCAGCACCUUUGGCACUCGUACCUCAAAUAAUUAUCAAUUGCAAUAAUGUAAGGCAAACUUGACAAAGUCUAAUUGUACAAAAGUUGACUGAAUGUGCGGGCUGUGAAUAUAUGCUUAUUCAACACUGCAUUAACAGUUGAUUUGUUGUUGUGGUGCAGUGAAGAAGCUCUGAUAAUAGCGCCGCAUGCUAACGUUAAAGCCACCAGAGAGCAAACAAAGCUGGGAGUUAGCUAGAAACAUAGAGGAGCAUUUAAUUGCUAAAAGGGCAAAAGCAUUUCUCAAAGGAGUUGGUGGAGAGGAAAAAAAAAAUUAGGAAUAAAUAUUGAAUUUAGUAUGGAAACAAAAACUCCCGUUGGAUGCUAAAGCUGCUUCAUGGCAACUAGUUCUGUAACGUUAGCGUUAAAUGAAGUUAGCCAACGCGUUAGCCAACAUAACUCAAUACACUUCACUUUAUUGAGUUAAUGCAACUCCUUGGUCCCCUUGUGGCCAAAAUAUCAAAAAGUAACUGGUUUAGUAUUGUUUUACUAAACUACAUACCACAAGCUCCCGACAUUAUUUGUUAUAUUUGACCAUUUCCCCCAAACUAUCAUACCUUGUCAGUGGGUCUGAUGAAGGUAAUCAACGCAGCUGCAGAAUCGUCGCAGACUGAGCGCAUUUCAGGAAGCUCUUCGUUUUUGGGAGUUGGUGCACAUUCACCAUUUUUACACCAAGUAACAACUCUUUUCAUGUCAUACAUUUGGCCA
Gasterosteus aculeatus aculeatus (three-spined stickleback) is the source of this 16304-nucleotide long non-coding RNA. The record is from Ensembl. NCBI's taxonomy places the organism in Eukaryota, Metazoa, Chordata, Actinopteri, Perciformes, Gasterosteidae.